GCUAGUAAUGGCAGGUCAGCAUACUGCCGUGAAUACGUUCCCGGGCCUUGUACACACCGCCCGUCACACCAUGAGAGUUGGAAAUACCCGAAGCCUGUGAGCUAACCUUAUAGGAGGCAGCAGUCGAAGGUAGAGUCAAUGAUUGGGGUGAAGUCGUAACAAGGUAAC
RNAcentral lists this ribosomal RNA (168 nucleotides) under uncultured bacterium. RNAcentral describes it as "partial 16S ribosomal RNA". It matches the Rfam family "Bacterial small subunit ribosomal RNA", at positions 1334 to 1500 of the family's 1533-position model. The record is from RNAcentral.